UGCUGUGGCUUAGCGGGGUUCC
Molecule: non-coding RNA, 22 nt
Filed under: Mus musculus (house mouse)
Lineage: Eukaryota; Metazoa; Chordata; Mammalia; Rodentia; Muridae
Source: RNAcentral